GAACUUGAACUUCAUGUACUAGUUCCCUGCGUUCAAGAAAUGUGUUUCUCUCUCAACAGGUUCUUUGCUCUGGAGUAAUAAGUACAGGGCUGUGAGCAGGGACACACUCAUGUAGGUCUGAGGAAUCACUGCAGUCUGGGUGCAUGAAGAUGGCCUCUACCCAGACUGAAGGCAGAGCAAGAUGCACAGCCCUGACCCAGCAACAUGUACAGCCCAACCAAAGGCUCACACUUCCAAAGCUCAGGUGACAGACGAAGCAGCCCAUCCAUGCACUUCCAGCCGGAGGGGCAAGGAAGAGGAUUCAGAAGGGCAGAAGGCUGGGGCGAUGCACCUUUGUGUCCCUGACACUGGCCAGCAAGGGGUGAAGUCUCCCUUUGACCACAGGUGGGUACAUCAGCCCUUGAUCAGCAGCAGCUGUGCCGUGGGUGCCACUGAAGGUGUGAGUGUGCUGGCCAAAGGCGUUCUGCAGCCUCCACUGCACCUUUGUGGGGAGAGCUCUGCCAAGGCUGCGUCCAGCUGGGAGGGCAGGAGAGACAACAGCAUGGAAGUGGCAAUCAGGACAUUACUUCUGCAAGGUGCUCAGACAUUUAUCUGGACUCAAGCAUUUAACAAUGUGCAAAGAGUGGACCCAUUACUGACGUGCCCCUGAGAGUUGGGUCUGCCUUUCCAAUCCUGUUUCUUCUUGGGUGAAAGUGGGAG
RNAcentral lists this long non-coding RNA (699 nucleotides) under Zonotrichia albicollis (white-throated sparrow). Its description in RNAcentral is "lncRNA (ENSZALG00000009340.1)". The record is from RNAcentral. Lineage: Eukaryota; Metazoa; Chordata; Aves; Passeriformes; Passerellidae.